AAGGUAGCGAAAUUCCUUGUCGGGUAAGUUCCGACCUGCACGAAUGGCGUAACGAGGGCCACACUGUCUCCACCCGAGACUCAGUGAAAUUGAAAUUGCUGUUAAGAUGCAGUAUACCCGCGGCCAGACGGAAAGACCCCGUGCACCUUUACUACAGCUUUGCAUUGAACUCUGAUCCUACCUGUGUAGGAUAGGUGGGAGACUUUGAAACUUUAACGCUAGUUAGAGUGGAGUCAUCCUUGAAAUACCACCCUGGUAUGGUUGGGGUUCUAACCUUGGUCCGUUAUCCGGAUUGGGGACAAUGCAUGGUGGGUAGUUUGACUGGGGCGGUCUCCUCCCAAAGAGUAACGGAGGAGCGCAAAGGUACCCUCAGCACGGUCGGACAUCGUGCAAUGAGCGCAAAGGUAAAAGGGUGCUUGACUGCGAGACUGACACGUCGAGCAGGUAGGAAACUAGGUCUUAGUGAUCCGGUGGUUCUGAGUGGAAGGACCAUCGCUCAACGGAUAAAAGGUACGCCGGGGAUAACAGGCUGAUACCGCCCAAGAGUUCACAUCGACGGCGGUGUUUGGCACCUCGAUGUCGGCUCAUCACAUCCUGGGGCUGAAGCAGGUCCCAAGGGUAUGGCUGUUCGCCAUUUAAAGUGGUACGCGAGCUGGGUUUAGAACGUCGUGAGACAGUUCGGUCCCUAUCUACCGUGGGCGUUGGAGACUUGAGGGAAGCUGUUCUUAGUACGAGAGGACCGGAAUGGACACACCUCUGGUGUUUCGGUUGUGACGCCAGUCGCAUUGCCGAGUAGCUAUGUGUGGAAAGGAUAACCGCUGAAAGCAUCUAAGCGGGAAGCCCCUCCCAAGAUUAGGUCUCCCUGACAGUUUAACUGUCCUAAAGAUCCCUCGGAGACUACGAGGUUGAUAGGCACGGUGUGGAAGAGUAGUGAUACUUGAAGCUAACGUGUACUAAUUGAUCGUGAGGCUUGACCAU
Molecule: ribosomal RNA, 978 nt
Filed under: metagenome
Description: bacterial LSU rRNA
Rfam family: Bacterial large subunit ribosomal RNA
Source: RNAcentral